GACGAACGCUGGCGGCGUGCCUAAUACAUGCCAGUUGAGCGCUGAAGGUUGGUACUUGUACCAACUGGAUGAGCAGCGAACGGGUGAGUAACGCGUGGGGAAUCUGCCUUUGAGCGGGGGACAACAUUUGGAAACGAAUGCUAAUACCGCAUAAAAACUUUAAACACAAGUUUUAAGUUUGAAAGAUGCAAUUGCAUCACUCAAAGAUGAUCCCGCGUUAUAUUAGCUAGUUGGUGAGGUAAAGGCUCACCAAGGCGAUGAUACAUAGCCGACCUGAGAGGGUGAUCGGCCACAUUGGGACUGAGACACGGCCCAAACUCCUACGGGAGGCAGCAGUAGGGAAUCUUCGGCAAUGGACGAAAGUCUGACCGAGCAACGCCGCGUGAGUGAAGAAGGUUUUCGGAUCGUAAAACUCUGUUGGUAGAGAAGAACGUUGGUGAGAGUGGAAAGCUCAUCAAGUGACGGUAACUACCCAGAAAGGGACGGCUAACUACGUG
Molecule: ribosomal RNA, 497 nt
Filed under: uncultured bacterium
Lineage: Bacteria
Description: partial 16S ribosomal RNA
Rfam family: Bacterial small subunit ribosomal RNA
Source: RNAcentral